RNAcentral lists this transfer RNA (72 nucleotides) under Oryctes borbonicus. It matches the Rfam family "tRNA". Rfam says of the family: Transfer RNA (tRNA) molecules are approximately 80 nucleotides in length. Their secondary structure includes four short double-helical elements and three loops (D, anti-codon, and T loops). Further hydrogen bonds mediate the characteristic L-shaped molecular structure. tRNAs have two regions of fundamental functional importance: the anti-codon, which is responsible for specific mRNA codon recognition, and the 3' end, to which the tRNAs corresponding amino acid is attached (by aminoacyl-tRNA synthetases). tRNAs cope with the degeneracy of the genetic code in two manners: having more than one tRNA (with a specific anti-codon) for a particular amino acid; and 'wobble' base-pairing, i.e. permitting non-standard base-pairing at the 3rd anti-codon position. Lineage: Eukaryota; Metazoa; Arthropoda; Insecta; Coleoptera; Scarabaeidae. The record is from Rfam by way of RNAcentral.
GGCUUUGUAGUGUAAUUGAUAGCGCGCCUGUCCGGCAAACCGGAGUCGUAAGUUCGAAUCCUGCCGAAUUCA